AAGAUGAUCCAUGGAGUGGGAGAGCAACGAACGAGAUAUCUAGAUAGAGGGAGAGAUUAUGAGGUAAGGGAGAAAUCUGGUGCUAGGGUAAUUCCCAGGAAUCCACAAGGAUGACCCCACCUUAGACUACUAGCAAUAGUGAAGAAGGUGC
This is a non-coding RNA of Peromyscus maniculatus bairdii (prairie deer mouse), 151 nucleotides long. Lineage: Eukaryota; Metazoa; Chordata; Mammalia; Rodentia; Cricetidae. The record is from RefSeq and is a predicted model, not a curated record.